UGCAGGGAGGGUGUGUGUGUGUGUUUGUAAGAGAGAGAGAAAGAGAGAGAUAGAGAGAGAAAGGGGGUAGAGGUGGGGAGUGAGAGAGGGUGGAACACUGAUAAGGGUGGGAGAGAGAGGGGAGAGAGAGAGUAAGGGGGAGGAGGACAGAGAAAGAGUCGUACAGAAUGAGCGACAGAAAAUCAUAGCCGAACAAAUAUCCCAUCUACUCCAGUCCCACCUGCCUGCCUUUGGCCGGUAUCCCUCUAAUCCUUGUACCUGUCCAAGAGUCAGGAGUGAAACAGCAUGGAAACAGGGCCUUCGGCCCCACUUGCCCAGGCUGACCAACGGGCUGAUUUAAUUACCAAUAUCUAAUCAGAAACAUUUUUCAUUCCAGGUGUCAACAGCAAAAUUAAUAUGCAGACAGAUAACAAAAAAUUCGGGUCUGAAACUCAAUGCUGUUUGAAUGAAACAAAAGAAGCAAAUUGCUCAGAAACUCAGCGGGAAACAGUACAUGAACCUGCCAUCGAGAUCUCGGACUUUUCCCUGCGGGGCGGCGUCUCCCGAUGCUCCGGGCGUCUGGAAUUCCGUCUGGAAAAUUCCUCGGUCGUGGGCUUGUGUCUCGGAGGGUCGACCUUCACCGUCGCAUCGCUGGUCUGCAGAGAACUGGGAUGCGGAGAGGUUUCCGCGAUAGUGGCGGGGUCUUUCUAUUCCGGGGCCCCUCGCCCGCCGUGGGAACGGACGCUGGAGUGUGCGGCAUCUGAUCAGCUCAAAGGAUGCAGACAGACCAGCGCGCCGUGUGACGGGGAGUCGCUGGCAGUCGUGUGUGGAGGUGGGACUGGAGCUACAUCCGCACUGUCCCAUCACACACUCCGCCCGAGGGUCAGACACGGACACACACACACACACACACACACACACGUACACACACACACACGUACACACACACACGUACACACACACACACACAUACACACACACAUAAACACACACACACACACACACACACACACACACACGUACACACACACACACACACACACAACACACACACACACACACACACACACACACACACACACACACACACACACACACACACACACACACACACACACACACACACACACACACACACACACACACACACACACACACACACACACACACACACACACACACACACACACGUACACACACACACAUACACACACACACACACACACACACACACACACACACACACACACACUCACGCACACACACACACACACACAUACACACGCACA
Leucoraja erinaceus (little skate) is the source of this 1268-nucleotide long non-coding RNA. RefSeq lists it as uncharacterized. The transcript has 4 exons. The record is from RefSeq and is a predicted model, not a curated record. NCBI's taxonomy places the organism in Eukaryota, Metazoa, Chordata, Chondrichthyes, Rajiformes, Rajidae.